AACGAACGCUGGCGGCAGGCCUAACACAUGCAAGUCGAACGAAGUCUUCGGACUUAGUGGCGCACGGGUGAGUAACACGUGGGAAUAUACCUUACGCUGGGGGAUAACAUCGGGAAACUGAUGCUAAUACCGCAUACGCCCUUCGGGGGAAAGAUUUAUCGGCGAAAGAUUAGCCCGCGUCCGAUUAGCUAGUUGGUGAGGUAAUGGCUCACCAAGGCUCCGAUCGGUAGCUGGUCUGAGAGGAUGACCAGCCACACUGGGACUGAGACACGGCCCAGACUCCUACGGGAGGCAGCAGUGGGGAAUAUUGGACAAUGGGCGCAAGCCUGAUCCAGCCAUGCCGCGUGAGUGAUGAAGGCCUUAGGGUUGUAAAGCUCUUUCAACCACGACGAUGAUGACGGUAGUGGGAGAAGAAGCCCCGGCUAACCUCGUG
This 433-nucleotide ribosomal RNA is filed under the name uncultured bacterium. RNAcentral's name for it is "partial 16S ribosomal RNA". It matches the Rfam family "Bacterial small subunit ribosomal RNA", at positions 29 to 507 of the family's 1533-position model. The record is from RNAcentral.